UUGGAGGGCAAGUCUGGUGCCAGCAGCCGCGGUAAUUCCAGCUCCAAUAGCGUAUAUUAAAGUUGUUGCAGUUAAAAAGCUCGUAGUUGAAUUUUAGGCCCGGUUGGACGGUCUGCUCUAGGGUUUGUACUGUCCUGACUGGGUCUUACCUUCUGGUGAGCUGUCGUGUUGUUUACUCAGCGCGGCAGGGAACCAGGACAUUUACUUUGAAAAAAUUAGAGUGUUUAAAGCAGGCAUACGCUUGAAUACAUUAGCAUGGAAUAAUAGAAUAGGACUUCGGUUCUAUUUUGUUGGUUUCUA
This 300-nucleotide ribosomal RNA is filed under the name fungal sp. RNAcentral's name for it is "SSU rRNA". It matches the Rfam family "Eukaryotic small subunit ribosomal RNA", at positions 548 to 853 of the family's 1831-position model. The record is from RNAcentral. Lineage: Eukaryota; Fungi.